AGUGAACGCUGGCGGUAGGCCUAACACAUGCAAGUCGAACGGCAGCACAGUAAGGGCUUGCUCUUACGGGUGGCGAGUGGCGGACGGGUGAGGAAUACAUCGGAAUCUACUUUUUCGUGGGGGAUAACGUAGGGAAACUUACGCUAAUACCGCAUACGACCUACGGGUGAAAGCAGGGGAUCUUCGGACCUUGCGCGACUGAAUGAGCCGAUGUCGGAUUAGCUAGUUGGCGGGGUAAAGGCCCACCAAGGCGACGAUCCGUAGCUGGUCUGAGAGGAUGGUCAGCCACACUGGAACUGAGACACGGUCCAGACUCCUACGGGAGGCAGCAGUGGGGAAUAUUGGACAAUGGGCGCAAGCCUGAUCCAGCCAUACCGCGUGGGUGAAGAAGGCCUUCGGGUUGUAAAGCCCUUUUGUUGGGAAAGAAAAGCAGCAGGUUAAUACCCCGCUGUUCUGACGGUACCCAAAGAAUAAGCACCGGCUAACUUCGUG
RNAcentral lists this ribosomal RNA (492 nucleotides) under uncultured bacterium. RNAcentral's name for it is "partial 16S ribosomal RNA". It matches the Rfam family "Bacterial small subunit ribosomal RNA", at positions 29 to 507 of the family's 1533-position model. The record is from RNAcentral.